UAAUAUGUUUAUUUUGUUAAUUAGGAUUUGUGUGGAGAAGCAAAAGAAGACAACAAACAAAAGGGAAAUUAAAGAAGCAACAAGUAAACAAAAGAAAAAAAUAAAAUAAAAUAAAAAGAAAGAAAGAAAGAUCAUGUGAAAGGGGUACAGAAGCAAGUAAGCAACAUCAAACAAGUCAGGAAAAGGAAAGCUGAAAAGAUAGAAAUCUAUGUUGCUUCCGUGAUAACCGAGGCCUCCAAAGUAACUCCAUGUUUAUCUUCAACAACCUUUCCGAAAUUCAAGCAGAAUCAAGAAGAUGAAAAUCUAUCCUAAUUCAAGAUUCUAUCUUUUCAUACCCGGAAAGCCCUAAUUAGCUCUUUAAACACACACAAGUUUUACUAUGGAUCUUUCAUCGGGAAUUCGUGAGGCUUGGUGGAGUACGGUUGAUCCAAAGUUGAUAGACUGGGCGAUAACGGAAGGUGAAGGGAAAACUUGACGGCAACAAUCUAGCGGGGGCCGUUUGAUAGUGGCUUAAUGUAUGAACACGUACGAUCUAGAAGCAAGACUUCAGCGCAUUAAAGCACACGUAGGCUUCCUAAACAAGGCUGAACCACAGAAGCUGCUUCACAUUUUCAGUGUUGAACCAGCACUUGAAAUAGAAGAUCCAUUACCGAUUGAAUAUAAGAGCAUGGCAGAAUGAACAUUGAAGGAACUGGGAGCCCCGAGAAUAAGAGAAGACCCUCUUUGCAUUAUCUUUCCAGAGCUAGAGAAUCCUCUAAAGCUGAAUUCAAGUUUCCUUAAUCUUCUCCCUAAAUUAUAUGGGAACGCAGGUUGUUAUAUUCAUUCACUAGGCAUAUUACCUCUACCCUUUCUGGCAACACACAAAAUUCUUCUGUUUUCAAGACUCAAGACCCAGAGAAGGAACACGUUGCUACUGACUGUGAUUGUAAAAAAAUUCCUACAGCUUCACCAAUAAUUUAUAAUAUGAAGAUCCAAGAUGAUGAAGCGGCGUAGAAGCACAAUAACUAAAUGUAGACCUAACCAAUGCAACAAUGAGACAGAAAGCAUCUCACAUGUUCAAAUAACAGAACGUCUCAAGAAACCAGCUAAGUUUCUCCUCCUCUCCUAUUUAUUUAUUAAUUCUUCUUCUUCUUCUUCUUCUUCUUCUUCUUCUUCUUCUUUUUUCUUUUAUCGAGGACGAUUGAAAAGUUUAAGUGGGGGGGACAACUAUUUUUUUCUAUACUUUGGAUGUUGGGAUGUUAGGCUGGGUUACAAGUUUGAAAAUAGCAACAAAAUCUUGUUUGAUUAUGCCCAUUUUUAGGGGAGAUGCUGCCGAUUUUUUAUUUAGGUAUUGGAAAUUUUGAACUAAUAGAAGUAAAGUACACAAAAAAAAAAUUUUUGUUUUCUCCAAUCUUCUUCAUAACUUACACUCUGGGCUUGUGUCGUUUCUUCCUCAAAUUGCAACUAAUCCAUGUUUUGAAAAUGAUUUAGGCAAUUAAAAUAGUUUAUACGCCACAUCAACCAAAAAGCCUAUCCCUGUUAUUUUCCAUGAAUAAAUCACAAAUGUACCUCUACUUACAAGUCAAAUGAUUAACCUUCUGAAAUUAGUAGAGCAUAUUAAAGUGUGAUGUACAAAUGGUUGAUAUUCAAUGGUGAUAUAGUACUAUAAAGUGAAAGUUUCAAUAUAAGGCUCUGCGGACCAAUGACUGGGUAUAUGUGUUAAUUAAUUCACAUAUUGGUAUUAAAAAAAUAAAUAAAUAAAUAAAUAAAAUUCGAACCAAGUUAUGUACGUGUGAUGUUUCUAUCUCUUGCUUGAGUAGUUCGAGUAAGUAGAUCCUUAGGGGAAUCUUAAAGCCUAGUGCCUUGGACCAACUAGAUCGGGAGUCACUGGUUGAACACUCGCUACAUGGACUAUUCAACAGAGAUUGAAAAUUAAGAGUCAUGAAACUAAAAAUCAAAAAAUU
Chenopodium quinoa (quinoa) is the source of this 1943-nucleotide long non-coding RNA. RefSeq lists it as uncharacterized. Lineage: Eukaryota; Viridiplantae; Streptophyta; Magnoliopsida; Caryophyllales; Amaranthaceae. The record is from RefSeq and is a predicted model, not a curated record. The transcript has 3 exons.